UACGGGGGGGGCAAGCGUUGUUCGGAAUUCCUGGGCGUAAAGGGCUCGUAGGCGGCCAACUAAGUCGGAUGUGAAAUCCCCAGGCUUAACCUGGGAACUGCAUCCGAUACUGGAUGGCUUGAAUUCGGGAGAGGGAUGCAGAAUUCCAGGUGUAGCGGUGAAAUGCGUAGAUAUCUGGAGGAAUACCGGUGGCGAAGGCGGCAUCCUGGACCGACAUUGACGCUGAGGAGCGAAAGCUAGGGGAGCAAACGGG
RNAcentral lists this ribosomal RNA (253 nucleotides) under uncultured bacterium. Its description in RNAcentral is "partial 16S ribosomal RNA". It matches the Rfam family "Bacterial small subunit ribosomal RNA", at positions 524 to 776 of the family's 1533-position model. The record is from RNAcentral.